RNAcentral lists this ribosomal RNA (3252 nucleotides) under Triticum aestivum (bread wheat). RNAcentral's name for it is "partial small subunit ribosomal RNA". Lineage: Eukaryota; Viridiplantae; Streptophyta; Magnoliopsida; Poales; Poaceae. The record is from RNAcentral.
AUGGCGCUAAGCGUCGCGCGAUCCCUGGUGGGGAGUGCCGUAAACAAGGCGGCCUCCGAGGCCAUGGAUGAGAUGGCAUUGCUCAUGGGAGUGAGGAAUGAAAUAUGGUACAUCAAAGACGAGCUAAGAAUAAUGCAAGCUUUCUUGAGAACUGCUGAAAGGAUGAAGGAUAGAUAUGAGCUUGUCAAAGUUUGGGCGGAGCAAGUAGAGGACCUAUCCUAUGACAUUAAACAUUGCUUGGAUGAGUUCCAGUUUAAUUUGGGACACCCAGGUUGCUUGCAACGGCUGACGAAGCUUAGAGACCGCCAUCAAAUUGCUGUCCAGAUUCACAGCCUGAAAGUAAGAGUUGGAGAAGUAAGUAACAGGAUCCAACGCUACAGUCAUUUAAUGAAGCCCGUUACCCCUAGCAGCAUGGAUGACAGGAGAUUUUACAAGGAUAAGGCCAGUUCUGACAUGGAAGGCAUCCAUAGUUAUUCCCAUAGUCUUGAUGAAGCGGAACUUGUGGGCUUUUCAAAGCCUAAACAGGAGUUGAUUAUGCUGAUGGAUGUCAACGCCAAACAUGGUCCAGCCAAUGUGAUAUGUGCUGUUGGCAUGUGUGGAGUAGGCAAGACUACUCUUGCAACCAAGAUUGAGCUUCUUAAAGAUAUGAUCAAAAAACUUUUCAGUGAUGAAGCAUUGAUGAAGCAACUUGAAGGGAAGGUGAUGCGAGAAGAGGACCUCGCCCAUUACCUGAGGAUAGAGCUACUUGAGAAGAGGUACUUUGUUGUUCUUGAUGACUUAUGGAACAUAGAUGAUUGGAUUUGGAUCAAAUCUAUUGUUUUUCCUCUUAGUAACAACAAAGGUAGCCGGAUAAUAGUAACGACACAAGAUGUUGACUUAGCCGAGAAGUGUAAUUUGGAAUCUUCCAGAUCACUUAUCUACCACCAUCAAUCCCUAGGAACAAUUGAUGCCAUGAGGUUACUGCUAAGGAAGAUGAGGAGAAGUGAGGAAGACAUGAAAAAUGAUAAGGACAUGAGGGAAAUAGUUAUUAAGAUAGUUAAAAAAUCUGGACGGUUACCCCUAGUUGUACUCACACUAGGAGGCAUGCUUUCCACCAUAGUGGCUAGUGAGUGGCAAAGUAUUUAUAACCAGCUCCCCUUGGAGCUAGAGAGCAACCAAAGCCUUGAAGCAAUAAAGAAGAUGAUUAUCCUGAGCUACAACCACUUGCCUUCUCAUCUUAAGCCAUGUUUCCUAUACCUAAGCAUCUUCCCCAGGAAUGUUGAGAUCCAAAUAAGGCAUUUGAUAAAUAGAUGGAUAACAGAGGGAUUUGUUACAUCUAGGGUUGGAAUGGACAUUGAGGCUGUCGCGAUGAGCUAUUUUUAUGAUUUAGUUAAUAGAGGUACAAUUCAACCGUCAAGAGUAAAUGUAGAAGGAAGGGUUAAGAGUUGUCGAGUCCAUGGUGUCAUCUCUGAUAUCUUGGAAUCCAUUUCAAGAGAUGAAAAUUUUGUAUACCUUACAAGUGAUAUUGUAAGAAGAGCACCAGAGGAAAACUUUCACCAUGUAGUACACCAUGGUCUGAAUUGCCCGAAUAUUAGCAUGGAUUGGAGUCAUGUUCGAUCCUUUACUUUGUUUGGCAUGCUUCCCAUGGAGCCAGUAUGUUCAGCCUACCUGAGGAUGCUAAGUGUCUUGGAUCUUCAAGAUGCACGAUGCAGUAUCACGCAGAAAGAUAUCAACAACAUAGGGUUGUUGCGCCGCUUGAAAUAUCUGAAUGUUCGAGGACAUUCAGAUAUCUGUGCACUUCCAGGAUCCAUAGGGAAACUACAUGGCUUACAAUAUUUGGAUGCAAGAAACAGUUCCAUCACAUCAUUACCCACUGAGAUUAGUAAACUGCAUAGUCUCAUUAGUCUCCGUUGUAGCAGCGGAAAAAUUGAUCUAGAUGGUCCACAGGAAGGCUUGGCGCACAUAUUGUGCCUGCCCAUGGUAUUCACACUUUCUGGUAAAUCUGGUAUCCGAGCUGAGUCAAGAGGUCUGAGGGUGCCAAGAGGGAUCGGUGAGUUGCAAGAGUUACGGACCUUAGAUGUUGUUGACAUCAGAAGAACUAGUAGAAGAGCAAUUAAAGAGCUGGGGGAGCUUAUGCAGCUAAGGAAACUAAGUGUGGUAAUAGCACGGGCAUCCAAGCAAAAAUGUAAGAUACUUUGUGCAGCCAUUGAGAAGCUAUCUUCCCUCUCUUCUCUUGGUGUAGAUGCUGGCGGAAGCUCUCUUGAGUGGAUGCAUUAUGGUUCAUCUCCUCCGCCCCUCCUGAGCUCCCUUAAGUUGGUUGGAUGUCUUGGAGAGGUGCCAGACUGGUUUGGAAGUUUGAUGCAUUUGGUGAAGAUUUACCUAGUGGGAAGCCAACUGAAGGGAGAUAAAACCAUGGAAUUGCUAGGGACACUGCCCAGCCUCAUGCACAUUGGUCUUCAUCGGAAUGCUUAUGCUGGAGAGAAGCUAGUCUUCGCAUGUGGAGCAUUCAUAUGUCUCAGGAAACUGGAUUUUUAUGGAAGUAGUGGACUGAGAGAGGUGAGAUUUGAGGAGGGCACCUCGCCCCACUUGGAAAAGAUGGAAUUCGGCCUUUGCAGGUUGGAAUCAGGGAUUAUUGGUAUCAAGUACCUUCCAAGACUCAAGGAGAUUUCACUUGGUUACGCCGUUAAAGUGGUGAGGCUUUAUGCGCUGCAAAAUGAGGUAGAUGCGCACCCCAACCAUCCCAUGCUGCGACUAUCUGAAGGCAGGAGGGACCAUGACCUGGAGGACAUCAUCACAGAAUUAUCAUCGUCGGAGGAAUCAUCUCCACUUCGAGAGCUUUUAGAAGUGGGAGAAAGCUCCUCGCAGGUGGUGGUCAUGACGGCACGGAGCGACAGGAGGUGUUGCUCGUUUCCAUUUUGCUGCUUCCUCUUGGAAUAUUGCCACCAUCUUCUACACCCUGUUGGUACAACUCAAACCACGUAUUUCAGAUGGGUGGGGAGAAGACGCGGAAAGUACAAUGCACGCGGGAUGCUGCUUUCCAAGUCCGACGGUGGUGGCCUUUGUAUGCCGCAAAGUGAAGCUGAUAUACAAACUGAUGUUCCUGCGCUGCCGAAGUCAGAGUACUGCAGUGAUCUUGGGAGUCCCAGUGUAACAGAGGAGACGAAACGUAUGAUACGACGCCAUUUUGAGAUCUCACAAAGGGUUCACAAGUGGCAACUGGUGGCCGAGAUGACAAUCGGUUCUUGGGGAGCACAAUGGAAUGGAUCAACCUGA